UGCCAGCCGCCGCGGUAAUACGGAGGGGGCUAGCGUUGUUCGGAAUUACUGGGCGUAAAGCGCGCGUAGGCGGAUUGAUCAGUUGGGGGUGAAAUCCCGAGGCUUAACCUCGGAACUGCCCUCAAUACUGUCAGUCUAGAGUUCGGAAGAGGUAAGUGGAAUUCCUAGUGUAGAGGUGAAAUUCGUAGAUAUUCGGAGGAACACCAGUGGCGAAGGCGGCUCACUGGCUCGAUACUGACGCUGAGGUGCGAAAGUGUGGGGAGCAAACAGGAUUAGAUA
Molecule: ribosomal RNA, 279 nt
Filed under: uncultured bacterium
Lineage: Bacteria
Description: partial 16S ribosomal RNA
Rfam family: Bacterial small subunit ribosomal RNA
Source: RNAcentral